ACGCCGGCUGGGCGAGGGUGCCCGCGCCCAUCUGACGGACGAAAUCGUGGUCGACGUAGCUGUUCCAGUCGGCAGCGGCGGC
Molecule: transfer RNA, 82 nt
Filed under: compost metagenome
Description: tRNA-Gln
Source: RNAcentral